GAUGAACGCUGGCGGCGUGCCUAAUACAUGCAAGUCGAGCGAACGGACGAGAAGCUUGCUUCUCUGAUGUUAGCGGCGGACGGGUGAGUAACACGUGGAUAACCUACCUAUAAGACCGGGAUAACUUCGGGAAACCGGAGCUAAUACCGGAUGAUAUUUUGAACCGCAUGGUUCAAAAGAGAAAGACGGUCUUGCUGUCACUUAUAGAUGGAUCCGCGCUGCAUUAGCUAGUUGGUAAGGUAACGGCUUACCAAGGCAACGAUGCAUAGCCGACCUGAGAGGGUGAUCGGCCACACUGGAACUGAGACACGGUCCAGACUCCUACGGGAGGCAGCAGUAGGGAAUCUUCCGCAAUGGGCGAAAGCCUGACGGAGCAACGCCGCGUGAGUGAUGAAGGUCUUCGGAUCGUAAAACUCUGUUAUUAGGGAAGAACAUAUGUGUAAGUAACUGUGCACAUCUUGACGGUACCUAAUCAGAAAGCCACGGCUAACUACGUG
RNAcentral lists this ribosomal RNA (497 nucleotides) under uncultured bacterium. Its description in RNAcentral is "partial 16S ribosomal RNA". It matches the Rfam family "Bacterial small subunit ribosomal RNA", at positions 28 to 507 of the family's 1533-position model. The record is from RNAcentral.